This 263-nucleotide ribosomal RNA is filed under the name uncultured archaeon. RNAcentral's name for it is "partial 16S ribosomal RNA". It matches the Rfam family "Archaeal small subunit ribosomal RNA", at positions 748 to 1009 of the family's 1478-position model. The record is from RNAcentral.
CAGCCGUAAACUAUGCGCGUUAGGUGUACUGGUGACCACGAGUCACCGGGGUGCCGAAGGGAAACCGUGAAACGUGCCGCCUGGGAAGUACGGUCGCAAGGCUGAAACUUAAAGGAAUUGGCGGGGGAGGCACCACAACGGGUGGAGCCUGCGGUUUAAUUGGACUCAACGCCGGAAAUCUCACCGGAUAGGACAGACAUAUGAUAGUCGGGCUGAAGACUCUACUUGAUGAUCUGAGAGGUGGUGCAUGGCGUCAAGUGACU